GUGAGUGGCAGACGGGUGAGUAACGCGUGGGAAUGUACCUUUUGCUACGGGAUAGCUCCGGGAAACUGGAAUUAAUACCGUAUGUGCCCUACGGGGGAAAGAUUUAUCGGCAAAGGAUCAGCCCGCGUUGGAUUAGCUAGUUGGUGGGGUAAUGGCCUACCAAGGCGACGAUCCAUAGCUGGUCUAAGAGGAUGAUCAGCCACAUUGGGACUGAGACACGGCCCAAACUCCUACGGGAGGCAGCAGUGGGGAAUAUUGGACAAUGGGCGCAAGCCUGAUCCAGCCAUGCCGCGUGAGUGAUGAAGGCCCUAGGGUUGUAAAGCUCUUUCAGUGGGGACGAUAAUGACGGUACCCACAGAAGAAGCCCCGGCUAACUUCGUGCCAGCAGCCGCGGUAAUACGAAGGGGGCUAGCGUUGUUCGGAAUUACUGGGCGUAAAGCGCACGUAGGCGGACUUUUAAGUCAGGGGUGAAAUCCCGGGGCUCAACCCCGGAACUGCCUCUGAUACUGGAAGUCUCGAGUGUGGUAGAGGUGAGUGGAAUUGCGAGUGUAGAGGUGAAAUUCGUAGAUAUUCGCAGGAACACCGGUGGCGAAGGCGGCUCACUGGACCACAACUGACGCUGAGGUGCGAAAGCGUGGGGAGCAAACAGGAUUAGAUACCCUGGUAGUCCACGCCGUAAACGAUGGAAGCUAGCCGUUGGGGGAUUUAUCCUUCGGUGGCGCAGUUAACGCUUUAAGCUUCCCGCCUGGGGAGUACGGUCGCAAGAUUAAAACUCAAAGGAAUUGACGGGGGCCCGCACA
This 800-nucleotide ribosomal RNA is filed under the name Jiella sp. RNAcentral describes it as "bacterial SSU rRNA". It matches the Rfam family "Bacterial small subunit ribosomal RNA", at positions 91 to 927 of the family's 1533-position model. The record is from RNAcentral. Lineage: Bacteria; Pseudomonadati; Pseudomonadota; Alphaproteobacteria; Hyphomicrobiales; Aurantimonadaceae.